GAGACUCUGUGCGCGUGCAUAUCAAUAAGCGGAGGAAAAGAAACUAACAAGGAUUCCCCUAGUAACGGCGAGUGAAGCGGGAAGAGCUCAAAUUUGAAAUCUUCAAGGUUUGACCUUGACGAAUUGUAGUUUAAAGAAGUGUUUUCGGUUAGAGGAGUAGUAAAAGUUCUUUGGAAUAGGACAUCAUAGAGGGUGAGAAUCCCGUAUUUGGUCAUUCUUUCUAGCUUUGUGACACACUCUCAACGAGUCGGAUUGUUCGGGAAUGCAGUCCAAAAUGGGUGGUAAAUUUCAUCUAAAGCUAAAUAUUGGCGAGAGACCGAUAGCGAACAAGUACCGUGAGGGAAAGAUGAAAAGAACUUUGAAAAGAGAGUUAAACAGUACGUGAAAUUGUCAAAAGGGAAGCGUUUGACACCAGUGUUGUUUAGUUGAAAAUCAAUUCAAUAGUUUUUGAUUCUAAGUAGUAUUGACUUCAUCAGCUUGCUGCUUUCUUCUCAGAAAUUAUUGAAUGCACUUUUCAGUUGACAAGUCAACAUCAAUUUCUUUUGUUGUAAAAGGGUACGAGGAAGGUGGCUUUCUUUUCGGAGAAAGUGUUUGUAGCCUUGUACCUCUGCAAUCGGAGAGAUUGAGGUCUACAGCGUAGACUCUUCGGGGUUAGAUACAUUUAGUGCUAAGUUAUAGCUUUUCAUAGACAACUUGUUGACUAUGUUAAGUCAUUGUAGCUUACUCGCUUAUGCUAUUUAUACCUACGCUUAGGAUGUUGAUCUGUAGUGCGUGCGC
RNAcentral lists this ribosomal RNA (777 nucleotides) under uncultured Neocallimastigales. Its description in RNAcentral is "partial large subunit ribosomal RNA". It matches the Rfam family "Eukaryotic large subunit ribosomal RNA", at positions 23 to 635 of the family's 3401-position model. The record is from RNAcentral. Lineage: Eukaryota; Fungi; Neocallimastigomycota; Neocallimastigomycetes; Neocallimastigales.